RNAcentral lists this long non-coding RNA (875 nucleotides) under Polistes fuscatus (common paper wasp). Its description in RNAcentral is "uncharacterized LOC122520726". The record is from RNAcentral. Lineage: Eukaryota; Metazoa; Arthropoda; Insecta; Hymenoptera; Vespidae.
AAUUCGUCGUGCUCUUUCCCAUUCGUUUACAGCAGCUAAAGCGUUUAUAGCAUCUCUAAUCCUAUCAGCUUGUAAAAAUACCUGUGUUCAUAAAAACAUCGACUUUAUUUACAUAUUUUAUAAAUUUAAGUCGUAUAUUAUUAUUAUUAUUAUUAUUAUUGUUAUUAUUAUUAUUAUUGUUAUUAUUAUCAUCAUCAUUAUAUAAAAAGCUGACUCAUAAAUAAGUCAGUUUUGACAAGAAUGCAUAUUAUUAUAAACAAGUAUAAUUUACAAAUGUUAAAUUAUUAAAAAGCUAUUUCUGGAUCAGCUUGAUGAAGAAGAAUAUCAGCUGCUCGAGUUAAAGAAGUUUUCGACGCUUGUGGAUCUAGGAUAAGAAUAUCCAAUGCAGCACGUAUUUCUCCAACUUCUAACCACUUCUGAGCUUCUUCUAAGGCAUUCAAUCCAUCAAUACCUGCACUUUUUUGUCCUAAUUCUCUACGAAGUGCAGCCUCUUGACUUGAAGAGAUUCUGCAAGACUGUAAUCCUGUGUUUCUGCUGCUUCUGUAGCUCUUGCAACAAGAACUUGAUUUAAUGCGUUUGGAAUAUGAGACUGUGCUACGUCUUCAGCAGCUUCCCAAUCUCGACCAAUGCAAUUGUCAUAGCAUCUGCCGUAUACAAGGUUUGUACUUUAUGAGUUUUUAUGAAUGCAGCACGGACUUUGCCAUCUACGAGACCAGCUAUAAUUGGCCCUUCUGUAGGCCAGACUAAGCAAGUGACUGCUGAAUUUUGUUUGAAUUUAUUGCAUAUAACUUUUUUUUCACCCCUAUGAAACAUUUUUAUAAGUGACACAUAUGUUUGUAGUGCGACAUCUAAUAAAGAUAAUGAUAUGUAAAACA